This 374-nucleotide unclassified non-coding RNA is filed under the name Libinhania acicularis. RNAcentral describes it as "partial external transcribed spacer". The record is from RNAcentral. Lineage: Eukaryota; Viridiplantae; Streptophyta; Magnoliopsida; Asterales; Asteraceae.
CGUAAAGGUGCAUGAGUGGUGUUUGGUUUGUUACGGGUGGUUGGCUCUUUGCUUGUGCAACAACUUCCACCUGGCAUACCUCUUCAGUCUUACGUCAAUGCUUGUAUUGCAUUGAUGCAUGGUGGGUUUCUUGUGUUGCAUGCCUAACCGAUGGCAUCUAAUGAAGAACUGACGUUCUUUUUCGUCUUGUGUCACUCACGUGAUUUGAGAUGAACCUUGAAGCAUGCUUUGUGUUCCACUUUUUCGAUGUAUACACAUUGGUAUUGUGGCCCAUUGAGUACUGCUCGGUCUCAUGGAUAUAGUAUUUGAUGUGGGCAUGAGAUAUUUAGUAGCUCCUUGUUUGCCCUAUUUUAGCUUUUAUAGCACGAUUGUCU